This 346-nucleotide long non-coding RNA is filed under the name Bos taurus (domestic cattle). Its description in RNAcentral is "long non-coding RNA NONBTAT010883". Lineage: Eukaryota; Metazoa; Chordata; Mammalia; Artiodactyla; Bovidae. The record is from RNAcentral.
GGCAAUUAUUCUUUCAGAUAACUGUCUUUUCUGCUGAACUAAGCACUCUGAGGGCACACUCUAUAUUUUUUUAUCUCUGUUACUUAAGGCUUUACCAUGGUUUCUCUCAUCUGUUCGGUGUUCAAUUAGUGUUAACCUGGGUUAGGAUAAGGAAGAGGUUAAUGGAGGAAAUUAAUUUGGGGAUGGCUUUAUAGAUAGGUAGAGUCUGAAGAGAUAGGAAGGUUAAGUAUAAUAUCACCAAAGAUGUUCAGACCACUACUGAGCUCAGUAUGUAAAAUUUUAUUAAAUGUUAAGUCAGUAAUUUGUCCAAAAUGUUCAUUUAUGGGAUAGGUCUAUCUGUCUGGAU